RNAcentral lists this long non-coding RNA (37206 nucleotides) under Lactuca sativa (garden lettuce). RNAcentral's name for it is "long non-coding RNA (LSAT_LNC004856)". The record is from RNAcentral. Lineage: Eukaryota; Viridiplantae; Streptophyta; Magnoliopsida; Asterales; Asteraceae.
AUCAGUAAAAGUCAAAUAAUAACGAUUAGCAUCCCUUGUGGCAUGUUUGAAUGGUCCACACACAUCCGUGUGUAUAAGGUCCAACAAACCUUCACCCCUCUCACACGAACCUGUGAAGGGUGACUUUGUCAUUUUUCCAAGUAAGCAUGAUUCGCAACUAUCAUCUGACUUUAGGUCAAACGACUCCAAGACUCCAUCCUUUUGGAGUUGGCCUAUGCGUUUCUUGCUUAUAUGUCCAAGACGACAAUGCCAUAAAGAUGCUUUAUCCAAGUUAUUAUUAGUAGAAUCAAUACACAAAACAUUAUUUCCCAAGUUAUCUACAACAGAUACAGCUUCAUACACACCAUCACAAGGUAAUGCUUUAAAAUAAAAGACAUUAUUAUAGAAAACAUCUAUAGAACCAACUUCAUUAUUAAAUGAAAAGGUAAACCCUUGUUUGUACAAAGCAUGAAAGGAAAUAAUAUUUCUUGCCAUUCCUGGCGAAUAACAACACUUAUUCAAAUCUAAACUAAACCCACUACUUAGCGAUAAAGUAUAAACUCCAAUCUUGGUAACAGGUAUAGCUUUCCUAUUCCCCAUGAUCAAGUUUAUCCUUCCUUGCUCCACAUCCUCACUUCUUCUUAGUCCCUGCAAGUCACAACAAAUGUGAAUACCACACCCGGUAUCAAGGACCCAAGAAUUAGAAUGGGGUGAGUUAUUAGAAAUGAUAGUGUAAAUACCUGCAUGGUUGGGUUUAACUUUCCCAUCCUUCACAUCUUGCUGGUAUUUUGGGCAGUUCCGCUUCCAAUGAGCUUUUUCAUGGCAAUAGAAGCAUUCAGCCUCUUUUGGGUCAGAAGAAGGAGUAAUGAAACCUUUCUUGGUUCCACUUGAAGAAGAGCCAUCAAGGGUCCGAACCUUGGUACCCUUAGAAGAGCUCUUUCUCUUCCUCCCUCGACUUUUCCCGAUUGCCAAAACCGGAGUAGAGUUUUGAGUAGGAGUGAUAGCAACCGACUUCCCCUUAAGACCUGAUUCUGCGGUCUUGAGAAGUCCCUGAAGUUUGCUGAGGGUGACUUCUUCCUUGUUCAUGUGAUAUGUCAUGCGGAAUUGAUCAUAGCACGAUGGUAAGGAAUGCAAAAUAAUAUCUAUUGCAAGAUCCUCCGGGAAGUUCACAUUAAGCUUCAGCAAACGAUCCACAUACCUUUGCAUUUUCUGCAUGUGGCUCGUGACGGAUUCCCCGUCCUUCAUCAUGGUUGUUAUCAUGGAGCAGAUGAUUUCAUACCUCUCUUGUCUUGCACUUUGAUGGUAUCUUUCCAUCAAAUCUUGGUGCAUUUCAUAAGGGUAGAAAUCCUCAUAAGACUUUUGGAGUUCCGCUGUCAUCGUGGCCAUCAUGAUGCAAGCCACUUUCGUAGCAUCCCUUUCAUGUGCCCGAAAUUCAGCGAUCUCCUGAGGAGUUGCAGUGGACUCAUCAAUCUCCUUAAGCUCCUUGUCAAGGACAUAUUCUUUGUCCUCGUAGCGGGUAAUCAUCCUGAUGUUUCUGAUCCACUCAUUGAAGUUGGAUCCAUCAAAGGUGACUUUCCCACACAAGUUCAUAAGGGUAAAGGAGCCAUUAGGAUUAGAGCCAGAAGCAUUGUUGAAAGACAUCUGAAGGAAAGAGGACAAGAUUAGUUUAGAUAUAAGAGAGUCCUUAAUAAAACACCCAAAUGUAAUAUUAAGGCUAGGAUCCAAUCACAAUAUAAUAUAACUUAGAAGAGGUAUGCCGUAAUCUAAGCUAUAUCAUAUUUGAAAGGUAGGUGAAUGACGAUUCACCAAUUUCCACCACGAAAACCGCAAUAUUUUAGUAUUAGGUUUUUGAAUGGUUCUUAGAAAUUCCUAGAUUCUUUGAGAUUCAAUGAACUUUUCAAAGGCAUGUUUCAAUCUCGAGUGUGCCCUCCAAGUUUUGUGACUGGGAUACCGAGGAUCACAAAACGAGGUGUGAAGUAACCAUGCAAAUCACUUGGUACCCUUAAAGUUUAUCACUCAAUCGAUGUGCCGGUUAACCACACACGCUCCAUCGAUACUAUAAUAAACCCUAAGUCACCCUUUACCUACCUUGUUAAGUCCAAGUUAGUGUGCCGGUUAACCACACACGCUCCACCAACGACUUAAUCAAAGUGUAAAGUGUAAUUUCAUGGAAUAGCACCUUAUUCACAUUUUUCCUAAAGUAACUAAGAUUGGGAAUUUAAUAAAACAUUUAGUUACUUUAUAAUAUUCAUCAUACUUUGAAUGAGAAUUAAUAAGUCCUUGUCUUACCCGUUCGGCUAACGACCCUCCACCGAUCAAGCAAGCGGUGGGUGAGAGUGGACACCCAUUAAGUCACCAUUUUAUAGGCAACAACCUUAUACCCACCUUAUAGACCGGCUUCGUGAAUGAGGCGUACUAGCGGUAAGACGACUUUGUUCUUAUACAUAUAUAUAUAAUUAUUAAAUCAUAAUAAUAUAAGUAUAAGGGUUGAAUUUUAACUUUUAAAAUUCUAGGGGUUGGAACUAAAGUUUUAACUUAACUUUACUUGUUCCAAAACUUGAGGGCAAGUUUUGUAAACUUUCAAAACUUUUCAUUUCUUGUAACUUAUGAGUUUAAUAGAGUAAUAAAAUGAGGACUUUUCAUUUUUCCUAACUCUUGUGUUCUUUUAAUGGUUUUUAAUCCAAGAGACUUUUGGUUUUCCAUAACUUGAGGACAAGUUAUGGACUCCAUUAAAACACAUUAUGAUCAUGAAUUAAUCUACCACAUAGGUUACAAAUAAUUCCUAUGAUCAUCUAAACAUCAUAAGAACAAGAAUAUGAAUAUGAACACUUUCAAGAAUCAAAAUCACAUUUAAUCUUUGUAAUUUUGAUAACUAGUUGUUGUAAAUGAGUUAGAAAAGACAUUACACCUUCUAAAAUAAGUUUUCAAGUACCAAAACAUUUUAGGGUAAUGAUUCUAAUCCAUUUCCAGCAACUCAAGUCGAAAUUCUGCACUCUGUCGACCCUACUCGCCGAGUGCAUAAACCUACUCGCCGAGUAGGUUGAAGAUACACAUGAACUCGACGAGUCCUCCCCAUGGACUCGCCGAGUCCAUCAGUCAGACAGCAAGAUUUUCGACUUUCUUCAACUUUUAAGCACAAAUAACAAACAAACAAGCCUAGGCUCUGAUACCACUGAUGGGUUUUGAGCAUUCUAACACUUCCUAAGUGUACAUGCAACCCUAAUAACCUUGGAUCUAUGUUUGUCUAAUUAUCAUGCAAAGUUGAAUUCCAAGGUUAUAUUCCUAUCUAGCAUACAUGGGGAACAAUUUUUAACUUGAAUGAAAGAUAGAAUAACUUACCUUGUUGUUGCUUAUGUUCCUUGAAACCUUGUGAGCCUAGCACCCCAAGUGUGAUGCCUCAAAUGCUUCACACAACACCAAAUGCUCUUGGAAAGACUCUUGAGAUAACACACACUUCUCAAAAUCGGCCAAGCCCUCUAGUUUCUUAGUGUAGCCGAUUUUGGUGGAGAAUGGGGACCUUAUAUAGUGUUGACACAUCUAGGGUUACACCAUGUAAACCCUAAUGUGUCAUGACUCUUCAUUUCCAUGACCCAUGGGUUUGUAACUCCCAUGGAGCAUCCAUGGAGCAUCCUAUGGGUGGAACCCAACUUGAUAAUCCAUGGAGCCUCUUAGUCCACUAUACAAGAUAUGGAUGAUUUACAUAAUCAACCCAUAUAUUUAAUUAGUUAUCUUUUGAUUACUUAAUUAAUUCUAAAUUAAUUCUUAAUCAAACUAAUCAAAUAAUAUUAUCAAUAUAUUAGAACUUAUAAUAUAUUAAUUAACUCCAAGUGUUAUUUCUCUUAUUUAGUCUAUCCAAUUGCAUGGUGUCAUGCAACCCAAAUGGACUAUGCCAGGUCGGGUCAAGUACUUCCCAGAAAUAGUUAUGGACUUAGACACCUUAUCCAACAGUAAGUCUAUGGGUGUAGUCGUAGCAUUCAUGGGGACGACAUAUAGUGAUACAGUGUUGUAAGGUUGCGGGUGUAGCCGUAACAUUCAUUAGGUUGGUAGAUGGCAUGAGUGCGUUGUUAGAACGCGGAAGGAACAGUAGUAACUACCAGUUCGGGUGCAGCAGUGAGGAUAUGGGAAUCCAUAGAUUGGAUUUCGGAAUUACCCAGAUAGAUUAGAUAUGGUUGAGCCAGUGAUAAGACUAUAGGAGCGCCACUAUAGUUAGGGCAUCGGGAAAGCAAUGGACUGUAUAAGAUUGCUUGUGAUAUAAGGCUACCAUCAGUUAGGAGGCAAUCAGUUUUAGCUUUGGAUUGAUGAUGACAGGAUUCGACACAUGGACCCAAUCGGUUAUAUCAGAAGGUUGUUAGAGCCACAGUGGCAUGAUAACUAGUGGCAACUAGUUCCAGGGAAGGAUUUCGUUUAGUAGUCGUGUGAGGCGACCAAGUAUGGAGUCCUUUGGCUUUGCAGCCAAGCCGGAACACAAUAUUUCAGAUGAUUGUCAAAUGAAUUGAGACUAGGUCGGCCUCGGGAGAUUUUGGAAAGUAGCCAUGCGGCAACAUAUUGCUUCAGGCAGUUCAGUGUUUGGGCAGUUUCAGCAUUUGGGCAGUGUUAAUAAUUGUGUUUUAGGUUGCAAGUUCGGACGGAAAAGCUAGUUAACUGGAGAGUGACAAGUCACUCACAGCGAGAUCAGCUGAGCCUUGGCCAAAUAUAAGUAAUCUGCAGGGAUAAGUAGGAAUGUGAUCCUGUUUUAUAUUGCGAACCUCGAGCUAUCAGAAGCUGAGUAGAUAGUUGAGGGAUAAACGGACUGGAUUCGUCGAUGAUGAUUCAGUAUGAGUGGUCUGUCAGGGAUUCAGACCAUCUCGAGACAGCAGAUUUCAGAUGGAGUAGAUGUGAUCUUGUUGCGAGGAAUUUGUUCAUCUGCAAAUUUUAGGGUUCUACGAAGAUUGGUCACGGCUACCCUGGGGUGUGACCAGGAUGGUGACCAUGUCACUAGAGUGGUUGGGCAUGUAAGGAAUGAUAAGGGAUGAUUUCGAGGAUGAAAGCUAAUUUAAGUGGGGGAGAGUUGUAACACCCUGUUUAUUUAAUAAAUAAAUAAUCAAAUUAAUGAAUGAGUAGUAGCCCUAAAAUUUAUAAUUAUAUAGCAAGGUGUUGGUCUCGAGGAGUUAAUUGUCAUGAUUUUAGAGAUUGGGGUUAAAAGUGUAAGUUUCGGACUGGUUUUGUAAUUAAUUACUAAGGCAGGGACUGCUUGAUAAAUUAUCAGGAUUUAAUUUGAAUAGAUUUUGGGAAACAAGGGCUAAAUGGUAAAUUCCAUAUUCAAUUUGUAAAGUUUUCUGAGGGCAGGGGCUAUUUGGUAAGUUUUGGGACUUAUUAUGAAAAGAUUUAUGGAAAUAAGGGCUAAGGAGUAAAUUCUAGACUUCAUUUGAAAAUAAUUGUUUAGGGAGGGGCUACUUGGUAAAAUGUUUGACUUAAUUUGAAGAGGUUUUAGAUGGUUGGGGUUAAAAGGGUAACUUAUGGAUUUAUUUUCAAAGAAAAUAGGGAAUGAGGGAUUGAAUAUGUUAUUAUGGAAUUAAGUUCAUGGGGGUUCAAGGUAUAUAACCCGUCACCCCCCAGUCCAACCCUAACCUUAACUGUUGAGUGCAGCUGCCAUUACCGGAGGUCGUCCAGUCGCCACCAUCUCCACCGCAGCUGGACGUCGGUGUUGUCGGGAAGAACCUCUAAGUCUGACGUUGCUUUUGGGAAGGACCGGUUGGAGGGUUGCGGUUGGGUCUCGACAUUGUAGCCGCCGCCAUGCGAUAGUUUCAACAAGUGUGCUGCCUCCACCUCCGUAUCUUCAAUCUCCGGUGGCAACACAAAUGUUGAGGAGGUCACGAAUCAACCACCACGGAGGUUGUAGCUGUUCUAAACGGCAAACCUUUGUCUUCCUCUUCUAUUUAUCCCACUGCCUGCCACCGCAAGGGUGGAGGUGGUUAGAUACAGUCCGGCGUGCACUCGCGUAUGUUGAUCUGUCACCGGGCAGAAGACCAAUAGAAACCGUCGCCACCACCGUGAGGUGGUGGCUGUUAUCGCAAACUGUUGUCGUUUCCGCCAUAUAGCUUCCUUCUACCGCCUUCUGCCGGAUCUUGACACCACCAACCUUUGCUACGAGUUAUGUUUGGGUAUGUAUUUGAUCAGAUCUGUUGCGUUCGGUUUUCAUUAGAUUGUUGCGGUUUGUUUAGCCAGAAAGCCACCACCACCACCAAGAGGUGGUGGUUCCCACCAUCUACCAUCACUGGCCACCACAAGGUAGUUGUGUGUGUGUGUGUUUAUAAUUUUUAGUGUGUGUUUAUUUUAUAAAUAUACAUUGUAAAUUCUAAAAAAAUGGAAUAAUGGAAAGAAACUCAAAACCACCACCGUGAGGUGGUGGCUGUUAUCGCAAACUGUUGCCGUUGCCGCCAUAUAGCUUUCUUCUACCGCCUUAUGCCGGAUCUUGACACCACCAACCUUUGCUACGAGUUAUGUUUGGGUAUGUAUUCAAUCAGAUCUGUUGCCUUCGGUUUUCAUUAGGUUGUUAUGGUUUGUUUAGCCGAAAAGCCACCACCACCACCAUGAGGUGGUGGCUGCCACCAUCUACCAUCAUUGGCCACCACAAGGUAGCUGUGUGUGUGUUUAUAAUUUUUAGUAUGUGUUUAUUUUAUAAAUAUGCAUUAUAAAUUGUAAAAAAAAUGGAAUAAUGGAAAGAAACUCAAAACCACCACCGUGAGGUGGUGGCGGCCGCCACCGGCCGCCGUGUCGGGUGGCGGUGUGCUUUGCCUUGUCAUGUUUGAUUCGGUUGGGAUGCUGAAACCCUAAUGGGCCCAAUAAAGCCCUGAUGGGCUUAGUGAAACCCUAAUGGGCAUAGUGAAAUAAUAAUGGGCCUAAUGAACCCUAAUUGGUCAAAGGACCUAGCUAUUGGGCCUAUUGGGCUAAGAUGGGUGGGAAACCCUAAUUAGGGUUUGGAAAACCCUAAUGCCAUGAAACCCUAAAUUGGGACUUAUCGGGACCGCAUCAGAAUUAUUUAAUGAACUUAAAAUAUUAAUUAAUAAUCAUUGCAAAUUAAGUUAAGGCCAUGUGGGACUUAAUGGAUUAAGUCCUUAGUGGGUUAAGUAGGAAAACUUUACCUUAAUCAUCAUUUUAUGUGAAAACCCUAAUUUCACUUGGGCCUUGAGGUGGGCCUUUCCAUUAGGCUUUGGUAAUUGGAUUAUUAAUAGGUCAUCCAAGAAUAAUCAUAUAGACUAGAAUAUGUUGAUAGGCUUAGGGUAAGGCCCAUAUGAGGAUUUGGGCCUAAUUUGGAAAAUUGGGCCAUAGAUGGGCCAUAGUUUGGGCCUUAAUGAUUAUAUGAUAUUAGGCCAUUAGAAUGUCAAAUGUUGGACUGGAAUAAAUGGUUGGGCCUUAGAGUGAGACCAUGUAAAGGUUUGGGCGCAAUUUGGAAAAUUUGGUCAUAUGUUGGGCUUUGAUUCAUAUUUUAAUUUUUGGGCCUUUGGAUUGGGCCUUGAGUUGAAUCACGCUAAGAUAGGGGUAAAGUAGUCUUGUACCCCAAGCUUGGACUUAUGAUUGUUGUGUUGGAACCCAAUUAUUAAUUGGGUGAUGUUUUGAUAUUGACAGUUCGGGAAUCUGUCAUCCAGAAGCUGGGAUUGUGUCUACGACACUUCAGCAGUGUGAGGUGAGUUACCUUCCAGUAGAAGUGGGUCUAAGGCACCAAUGUCGGCCCACUAGUAGGAGUUGUUUUUAUAGGAUUGUCUUUUUGAUAAUUGUCUAUGUUUGCUACUACAUGUUAUGUUUAUGUACUAGUGUGAUAUGAUGUUAUGUGAUAGUGGUAGUAAGGGGUGAAAUAGUCCUCAGUUACCGAUUGACGGGACCGAAGGGGUAGGCCAGCACCCAGAUAUGCUAGGCAAUAUGUAAUUUAUGUGUUUUUGUUGUGCUUUUAUGUGGUAGUGGUAGGGGUGAAAUAAUCCCCGAUUACCGGUUGAAAGAUACCGAAGGGGAGGCAAGCUCCCAGUUACCGGUUGAAAGAUAACGAAGGGGUAGGCCGGGCACCCAAAUAUGCCUAACAUUGGGUAGGUCGGGCAACCCAAUAUGCCUGACAGUAGGGUAGGUUGAGCACCCUGCUAAGCUCAGCAGGGUAGGUCGGGCACCCAUAUAUGCCUAGCAAUAUGUGAUUGUAUGGUAUGUGGUAUGAUGGGGGAACUCACUAAGCUUUGUGCUUACGGUUUUCAGUUUUGGUUUCAGGUACUUCGUUUUCAAAGGAAAGGAGCCGGAUUGAUCGCAGCGCAUCGCACUAUGUUUUCCACACAUGAGAUCUUUGGGAUUACACUCUGAUAUGGUUUAUGAUAUUAUGUUUUGAUUAUUGACACUUUUGUUUUGACAUGAGAUAUUAUUAUGAAUGUUUUUAUACUGAUGGUUUUAUGUUAUAACGUAAUUAAAAUGAAAUUUUUGGCCUGUAUUUUUUGGAUGUUACAAAAUACCUCAUGCAUGGACGUCAAGUUUGGAACUUUACAUAUAAUAUGGACCCUAGGAGGUCAGAUCUAUGGUUUGUAUGCAUUAAGGCCGAUUAAAAUCGACUGUAUAGUUUUGGACAAAGAGGGAAUCGGCGAGUCGCUUAAGCCACUCGGCGAGUCGGGUAACAGUUUCCCCCCAAACGUCUUCUGGAAAUGGUCUUUGGUUGAGUUGAAGGAAAACUCAGCCUGUUGGGGUUUGUUAUGGAUUUGAAGAUCGAAGGACUCGACGAGUUCAAGGCAAUAUCCCAACCACAUGAAGUCGGACUCGACAAGUUCAAGGAGAACUCGACGAGUCAUAGACUAAGCACCUUCAUACGGAUGAAGAUGAACUCGACGAGUUCAAGGAUGAACUCAGCGACUCAGUUGAAGAAGGUCCCAAUGUUUUAUGGAAGGAGAACUCGUCGAGCUCUUGCUAGACUCGACAAGUAGGGACGGGGUUGUAGCAUUUUGUGGACGUGGAGACUCAACGAGUUGGUGAACCAACUCGGCGAGUCUAAUAAACCAGAUGUUGACUUUGACCAAGGUUUUGUCCUUGACUUUGCCUUGGACUUGAGUUGACCCUUGUAGGGGUUAUGAGUAUGAAAUGGUAAUGUAUAAAGGAUGUUGUGUAGGGAUUGAGGAGUCGAGAAGAGUUUAUUUCCAUACCGAGGAUAGUUCAGACACUACACGACAUUGAGGUGAGUUACCUUCCAGUAGAGGUGGGUUUAUGGCCACAAUGCCGGCCCACCAGCAGGGAAUGUCUUUAGAUGAUUGCAUGGUUCUAAAUGGCGUGAGGCGUGGCGUGGCGGCAAGGUCAAGCCUCAAGCUUAACGAGCCAUGGCAAGCCAUGGCGUUUUUCAAGGCGUGAUGUAAGGCGGCGAUUUUGUAUUAAUUUAAAAUUAUAUUACCACAUAAAUAUAAAUUUAUAUUAAAUAUAACUACUUUUUAGAAGUGUUAGAUCAAUAACAAGUAACAAAAAUUUAACGAAAACCACAAUACUUGUAUCUCGGAUUAGAAAAGACAUAGCAAAGAGCAAAAAACCGUGUCUCAAACGAAAAAACACGCGCCAUAACACGCCAUAACGCGCCAUGGCACGCCAUAUCAUGCCUUGCCACGCGCCACGCCUAAUAGCACCGUUAUGAGGCUUUUCGUAACGACGGAGCCACGCCUCACGCCAUAGCGCGCCUUGGCGCGCCUUUUAGAACACUGGAUGAUUGUCUUUGUGAUAAUUUUCUAGGGUUGCUACUACCUUAUGUGUUCUAUGUGCUAGUAUGUUAUGUGAUAUGCGAUAAUGGUAGUAGGAGGGGAAUAGUCCCCCCGAUUCGGUCAUUAAGACCGAAGGGUAGGUCGGACACCCCAUAUAUGUCUGGCAGCAUGAUUAUGAUAUGUUAUUAUGUGAUAGUGGUAGGGUGAAAUAGUCCCCGUGACCAGUUAAGGUAGACUAGAGGGUAUACAGGCACCCUAGAACGGCCUGACAUGGGUAGGCCAGCACCCCAGAAUGGCUUGACAUGGGUAAGUUAGCACCCUAGAAUGGCUUGACAUGGGUAGGUCGGGCACCCCGAAAUUGCCCGACAGUAUCUAUGAUUGUAUGGUAUGUGGUAUGAUGGGGGAACUCACUAUGCUUUGUGCUUACGGUUUUCAGUUUUGAUUUCAGGUACCUAUUCGUCUAAGGGGAAAGAGCCGGAAGGGUAGCAGCGCAUCGCACACGCAUGAUUCCGCAUUUGAGAUUUCUGAGAUUUUACUCUGACAUUAUUACUAUUUGACCAUAUGGUUUUGAGACAUGUAACUCUGGUUUACGAAUUAAUAUGAAACUAGAUAUGUUUUCCUCAAACAAAUUUUAUAAGCAGUGUAAUUAAAACCAAAAGUUUUGGUCUUAAUUUUUGGGAUAUUACAGCGUUGGUCCGAGAUCAACUCCCGACCAAUCUGCUUACAGAGUUGUUUGUAGUCUCCAGUUGAUUAAUCAUGAAGGAAUCGUUAACCCACACAAUUGAUUUUUUUUUGAACCGGCAAAUCUAAUCUACUCCUAAGCUAACAACACCUAUUUCACCUAGGUCCACGACAGGACUUGAACCCUCGACCUCAAAGAGGGAGGGCACCACCUGAUACCGCUGGGCUACAAGCCCUUUGGUACCCACACAAAUGAUGGAAGGUGAACCUGAGGGCGUAAUAGUAAGCAUUCUUAUUUUCUUGUCAUAUACUCAUAUUUUAUACAAUUGAAAAAUAUAGCUCUACGGUAAUUUAUUUUGUUACGUGAUUAUAUUUGUGACAACAUAAAACCAUUGAUAGUGUUCUCGAAAGAGGUCCUAUGACCAUUUAGCCCUUGGUGUUGUUGCAAUGGUGGUACUGAUUUAGCAAAACAUCAAUUUUUAUAUGGAAGAAAGGUAGAAGAGUAGGUGGGUUUUUGUUGACUUUUGGUGAAGAAGAGGAGAUGUGAAAUAGAUGACCUGCUAAUUGGAUAUGCUGAAAGGGCUAUUGCCAAUAUUUAAUGCAAAAAUCAUGGCCAGAGUGACAAAAUAAAUAAGGGAUAAUGACUUGUAAGGGUAACGAACUUUCGACUUCGUUCACAUUUAGUCACUAAACUUUUUUUCGUUAUCUAUUUGCCACUGAACUAUUGAAACUGUACACAUUUUACCCUUAUGACCGGUUGUUGCCGGUCAUAAGGGUAAAAUGUGUACAGUUUCAAUAGUUCAGUGGCAAAUAGAUCAUGAAAAAAAGUUUAGUGACUAAAUAUGAACAAAAUCGAAAGUUCCUUUCCCUCUAAAAAAGUUCAAUGACUAAAUGUGAACAAACUUCCUCUUGUAUUAUGUUUUAGCAAAUUAUUUAUUUUUGUUAAAUUCUAGUAACAUUUGUUGAUAAAGAAAUCUACGAAAAAACGAAACCGAAAAAAAAAAACAAUGGUUUUGUAUUUUCCAAAAUAAAAAAUCAAAAUUUCCAAUCCGGUUUUGGUUUUACAAAACAACUAAUCAUUCUAACUCAUGUGAAUUAUGAUCAUUGGUUUGACAUGUGGAAUUAAAGAACACACAAAGAACACGGUGAUUUGGGUGUUUAAUAGAUGCAUUUGAUUAUAAAAGGUGUUUACAAAAAAAGAUCUAGAUCUAAAUAUACAUAAUUAACACACACUAACACUCUCAAUGUUACAUCUCUCAAGCACACCUCUACAUGUGGUAUGAACCCACCUUAUAUAGAUGUCUUUACAUCUCUCUCACUCUCUCUCUCUCUCUCUCUCUCUCUCUAUAUAUAUAUAUAUAUAUAUAUAUAUAUAUCAUGUCACAUGGCUACUUUACCACAUGCAAGUGAGUCUACAAAAGUCAAACCAUUUACAAAGUCAUACAUGGAUAACUUUGUACCCAACAUUCUCCCCCUCAAAGUUAGGAAUGGAUGACCGGCUUCAAAUCUUCCAAACUCGAGCAACUUCACGAAUCGAGCCUCAAACGUGAUACAUGUAGAGAUGAACAUCAAAUCAUUAAUUCUUCCAUGACUUUUCAAUCUGGGUUAUAGAAUGUGAGACCAUACAAACCGAGCAUCAAAAGGUAAUUAAGAGUUUCUCAUUCUCUAAAAAAUUACCCAAAAUUUGAGCAUUUAUGCACACUCCAAAAAUCUUCAAUAAGUCUAAACCCAUCAUGAACCGAAAUCACUUCCGAAUCUCUAGUCGAAUCAUUUCAUAAACUUCAAAUACUCUGAGGUCACUUCGGUCUUCAAGUUAGCAUAAUAUGAAAAAUUCAACUUUCGAAUUUUCAUAUCUAAAUCUCUCAUCCUUUUUAUAAUCGAAAAAUGAUUAUAAACUUUCUUCAUCAACAAAUGUUGCUAGAAUUUAACAAAAAGUAAAUAAUUUGUUAAAACAUAAUACAAGAGGAAGUUUUUCACAUUUAGUCAUUGAACUUUUUUAGAGGGUAACAAACUUUCGAUUUUGUUCAUAUUUAGUCACUAAACUUUUUUUCAUUAUCUAUUUGCCACUGAACUAUUGAAACUGUACACAUUUUACCCUUAUGACCGGCAACGACCGGUCAUAAGGGUAAAAUAUGUACAGUUUCAAUAGUUCAGUGGCAAAUAGAUAACGAAAAAAAGUUUAGUGACUAAAUGUGAACAAAAUCGAAAGUUUGUUACCCUUACAAGUCAUUAUCCCAAUAAAUAAAUAAGUGGCUUUUUCCAACCCAAUGUAUAAAAUAUAUGAUUUUUUAGUAUUUGCUCUAUUUAAUUAUUUGACAAUUUACAAUAUUUGAUUUCGUCGAGUUGAGCGUAAGGCUGUAAAUGAACCGGAUGUUCGACAAACCGUUUAACGGGAAAUUUAUUUAUGUUCGUUUAUUAAAUAAAUAAACGAAAAUGAGCACCAAUUAUCGUUCGUUUAGUUAAACGAAUGAACAUCAACAAUUGUCAUGUUUGUUUAUUUUUGUUCAUGAACGUUCAUUUAUGUUCGUUCGUUUAAGUUUAUUUAUGUUUAUAUAUGUUCAAUUGUUUUUUAUUAUAUUACUAUAUAAUAUGUUUAUUUAUGUUCAUAUAUAUAUUCAAUUGUGUUUAUUUAUUUUUGUUCGUUUAGCAUGUUCACGAACAUAAACACUGUAAUUUGUUAAAUGAACAAACAUGAACAACAAAACAUGUUCGUUUACUCGUUCAUGUUCAUUUGUUUAUCCGACUAACUUAAACAAACAAACAUGAACAACCUUUGUUCGUGUUUGUUCGAUUCGUUUACAAUCCUAAUUAAAGUAAAUAAAUUUCCUUUAAAUUUUCUUUUUGUAUUAUUUGUUAAUUUUUUCCAAUAACUGAUACCUAACAAUUGCUUGCAUGCUACUGGAUAUUAUUAUUGGUGCAUCCUUAUAUGAUUUAUGUUUUUGGUGCAUGCUUGUACUUUUGUGUACUCGGUGCACAAUUAUUAUUUCAUUCUCAAUAUCAUUUGUACAACUUAAAGAUAUUUUCACUUGCUAUCAUAUUUUAUUAUUUAUUUCGCAUGUCUUUAUUUUUUUGGAAACGGCAGACGAUUUAUCAAAAGUCUCACCACAAUAUUUUAAUGGUGACCCCGAGUUCGAGCUUCUUUACAGGACAAAUUCAGCCCCCAAAAAGAUUUACAGGGAAAACUUCACAGACAUGAGGCAUAACUAAAAGAAGCAAAUUUAACAGGUUCAAAAAUUUGAACUUCUGACCUGAAACCCAUGUGGGUAUCAAACCAAUCCGGCUAGGUUAGACAUCACUUGCAUUUCUUUCGCUUGGUGGUAAGGAUGUCUAAGAGGGGUGAAAUUCUUCUAUUUUCACUCGGCCCCAAUUUGGGAGACUAUGAUUUCUUCUACUUUCCUUUCCUUGAAUUUCAAGACCACUCCCGACCCCGCCCAAUUUAUUUCUUUAGAUUGGUGGAAUGGUAGUAGGGAUGUCUUAGGCAUUUGUUUCUUUCAUUUAUUUGUUUUUGGUGUUGUUGUUGAUGCAAUUACACUGGUUUUUGAGAUUUUUUUAUUUAAGUUGCUUAUUAGUUUAUACUAUAAACAUAUUUUAGUGUUUGGAUAAACAAAGAUUAUAAGUUAUUAUUAGGUAAAAUAAGGAAUUUUUCAGUAGAGUCUAAUUACUUAUUUACCACUAAUAUUCCAUAUACUAGGCGAAUCCCCGUGCGUUGCGCGAGAAUAAAAUUAUAUAGUUAAAAUAAUAGCUUUUACCAAAUUAUUAUUUAAUAUUUCUACUUUGAAACAAAAUGUUGGUAGUAAAGCAAACAUAUAGUUACCAUAUUAGUUUUAUUAAACAUUAUACUUUAAUUUCUGAGUCAUUGUGAUAUAUACAACUAUUUGAUAAUUUUAUAAACCGUUUAAAAUUGUGUAAAUUAUAUAUCAAAUGAAUGAUAAUAUAACGGAUAACAAAACGUAUGAACAAAAAUAUGAACUGCAACUUUUAAAAAUAUAAAAAUAGAAAAACAUCUAUUAUAACAAUUGUAUUAUAUAUAUAUAUAUAUAUAUAUAUAUAUAUAUAUNNNNNNNNNNNNNNNNNNNNNNNNNNNNNNNNNNNNNNNNNNNNNNNNNNNNNNNNNNNNNNNNNNNNNNNNNNNNNNNNNNNNNNNNNNNNNNNNNNNNNNNNNNNNNNNNNNNNNNNNNNNNNNNNNNNNNNNNNNNNNNNNNNNNNNNNNNNNNNNNNNNNNNNNNNNNUUAUUAUUAUUAUUAUUAUUAUUAUUAUUAUUAUUAUUAUUAUUAUUAUAUUUGUCUAAAUAAUUGGUUUUGAUGCAUCAUUUUAAUCCCUUCAAUUAUUAAACAUAAAGAUAUUUAAUUAUAAAUUUAUAACAUACAUAGGUGCAUAUACAUGUUAAACAAAUCACAUAUAAUAUAUAUAUUUUCGUAAAUGUCAUAUGUAAUUCUUGUCGUAGUAAUAUGGAUAAAUUACUUUCAUAUGAAGAACAUAUCAUGAUAAGUCUAUCAUAAUUAUAUAUCAAGUGUUAAAAAUUAUGUUAUCUUUUAAAUAUUGUCUUUUAAAUAUGUUGUGUAGGAUAACCCAACAAAAAAAAUAGAAAAUAAACAUAAUCAGAAUAGAAAAACUACAAUCAAAUAAAUAAGAGCAUUGGGUGGUUGAAUAUAUAAAUAAAGAUGUUACAUAAACAUACAUUUAAAUCAAAAGAAAAAACUAAUAUUCAUCAAUUUUGCUCAAACAAAAAAAAACCUAUAUUCGUUUUCUAAAUCUUCUUUCUUCAUUUAACAUCAUUCAACCAUAGAAACUUGAUGCCAAUUCUUCACUAACCUGCAAUCAAAAUAUUUUUCUUGAAAAAGAAGAAUCAGAAAGAUAUUUAAAAAAAAACAUUGAUGUUUGGAGAGUCACAUUCAAGAUUGAGUAAUACAUACAAAUCACAUAUAACGAUUAAAUGAAAAACUGAAUAUAAAGAAAGAAUAGAAAAGCUUCAUUUUUUUUUUUGGUUGAAAGAUAUUCAAAGCAAAACAUUGAUGUUAUGACAUCCUUCUUACAUGUAAGAUUUUAUAUAACACAAAAGACAUAAAAGAUUGACAUUUUUAUAGUAAACUUUUCACUAAAUGUUAAUUAAACAUAAUAUAAAUUAUAAAACUUUUGAGUGUUAAAUCAUAAUUAAGAAAACUUUUGAGUUGUAUUAGUUAAAAAAUGGGGUUUCAAAUGAAUGUGGUUUGAGGAAGUUAAAAAAUAGGGGUUUCAAAUGCAUGAAAUUCAAGAAAAAAUGUUAGCUUUAUAAGUAUGUAUGAUAUCAUUGAAGAGUUGUUUGCUUUCCAUAUAAAUGAGGGGAUUUUACACAACAUUUUAGAAAAAACUUCAUUUUGACAUCAUAAAUGAUUAAUUUACUAUAUAGUUUUCUUACAAUUAAGCCCAAAAUAACGACAACAGUUUACAAUUAAGUCCUAAAAAUCGGCAACGUGAGGUUUUUACUCCGGUAAACUAAUAAUUUUUAGGUUUUGUCUCGGUAAACAAGUCACCAACCGAAUAUUUCAUGUUUUUUUCACAUAUAUGAUCAAUGUUUAGGGGUUUAAACUAACUAUUUUUUAAUAUUUUAUAUUAGAGUAACUAAGUACACAUUUUUCUUUGUACUAACUUAAAUUUUGAUUACAUUUUGGAAAAACACUAGUACUCAGUUGGUAACCGAUUAUCAAGAUAAAAACCCAAAAUUGUAAACGGUUGUCAAUUUUUUGGACUUAAAUAGUAAACAAUUCUCGGAUUUGGGAAUUUAAUUGUAAACAAUUGCUAAUUUUUUGGGCUUAAAUGCAAGACCAAAAAUUUAAGGUUUUGUUUUAAUCAAUUAUGAGAACAAAACAUAAGGAUUUUCCAGAUGUUUUCCCAAUAUUUUAAAUAAAUAAAGAUAAAUCAGUUAAAAUAAAUAAAUAAUUAUUUAAAGAUGUUAACUAUUAGAGACUAGUUCACAUACAAGUUAAAGGCAAUGAAACGAUAAAAUAACAAUAAGUUUUAGUUUUUUUUUUUUUUUUUUUUUUUUUUUUUUUUUUUAAANNNNNNNNNNNNNNNNNNNNNNNNNNNNNNNNNNNNNNNNNNNNNNNNNNNNNNNNNNNNNNNNNNNNNNNNNNNNNNNNNNNNNNNNNNNNNNNNNNNNNNNNNNNNNNNNNNNNNNNNNNUUUUUUUUUUUUUUUUUUUUUUUUUUUUUUUUUUUGAAACGAUUGAUAGAAAAUGUCAAGAUUAGCAAGAAGAUAGCCGGCACGAGAGUAACAAUACAAGAAUUAAGAAAAGAACAUUUACAGAGACAUAGAAAGGAAAGAUGCUCCACUCCACCCAUUUAAUUCCUUUUUACCCUCCCAUAUCUAUGUUUUAACCACACAAAUCCCAAAGACAUAAUAUUAUCUGCCACCAAAGUAGGGGAUGUAGUACGUUGUUUAAACAUCCGAUCAUUCCUUGUUUUUCAAGUUAGCCAUAGCAUCCUAUAGCAUAUUACAGUCAACAAUUUCCUUUUCUUUAGACAUCUCCCCCAGGUAGCGGUGAAUUUGAGCAAUUCACUAACAUUGUUGAAUGACAUAUUUUCAAUGUCACACCACUUGAAAAUCCAUUCUCGUGUGGUAUUCACAAAACUAAAUCUAGUCAAGAUGUGAUCAAUAUACUCGUUUUCUCUAUUACAAUGUCCACAGGAUAUUGUGUCCAAGUUCAUACCACGCUGAAGUAAGGCCAAUAAUUUUUAGUUAUAAUAUAGUUUUACCACUGAUCUACUAUAACUUUGUGAUUACUUAUUUUAUAUUAAUAUUGAAAUGAUAAGUUGUUUACCAUCGAUAUACAACUUCCUGAUUACUUAUUUUACAUUAGGUAAUAUUUUUUGAACGGCUUUAUAAUUUAUCAGUUUGGUUAAAAUUUCUUGAAACAGCACCAGGCAAACUUUUUUUGUUGGGUGAGUGGUUGGCGCAAAAGAACUAAACACAUGUUUUUAACUCCAAAUUUUCUUCCAAAGCAUUUAAAGGUUUGUACUUUGUACGGUUUUGGUUAUAACAUCAAGUAAAAGAAACAUAGAUUGAUGCUAACUCUCUCUUUUGUACUCCAUCGCCAAACCAAAAAAAAGUAUUUCAGAUUAUUGUCCCUUUUCAUUUUGAAAAGGAGCCGAUAACAUAUUUUUUUUUCUCCAAGUGAAAAGAAUGAAUGAGAGUGAAGGAAACAUAGAGGUUGUUUAUUUUAUUUUUAUUAUAAAAAAAAUAAAUAAAAAGGAACACAAGCUAUAUUUUUGAGACGUAAUUUCUUAAUCUUAAGUGUUCUUCUUCCCAUUGGUGAUUGGCUCUCCAAAAAAAAUAUUAAAAAAAGUAAAAAUAAAAAUAAAACAAACUUGGUGGCCUAGGCUGCUCAGAAGGCUCGAGCCUUUUAACCUUUUCAUAUUGGCAUGUGUUGUUUUUUGAUAGGUGCAUUUAAAGUUAUUUUUAUAUUUAAAACCAUUUAAGUUAAUAACUAUAUUUAAUAUUUGGUAAAACUCAAACAAACUAUCCGAAAUAUAUAAUUUAUUUUUCUCUAUAAAAUAAAACAAAUAUCGAUUUUAUAUUUUUCUAGUAUAAAAUAAGGUUGGAUUGGGUUGACUUGUUAAUGAGUAUGAAUAAUUGGAUUGGAUUGAAUUGUAUAUAUGAAAAAGAAAGAAAUUAUUUUUUUAUAGGAUAAAUAGAUUAUGUUUGAUUGCUAACGAGGAUUGUUUUUGGUAUUUCAAGAUCGAUAUCUUAUUGGACUUUAAAUUAUUAAGUAUCUUUACUUGCUUCGAUAUCUUAGUUUGAUGUGACUAUAUUCAAAAUUAUCAUAUUGUAUAAGUGUUUGAUUAAGACCAGAGGGAGUGGGUUGUGGCCCUUGCCACACUUGAGUACCACAUCAACAGGAACACCGCCUCCUAGGUGCGGUAGAGGUGCAGUGCGACAUUCCAAGUGAGCAUUCCUUCAAACAAUGUGAUUAGUUCAUUUUACUUACCUCCAUCUGAUUGGUCUUUUUUAUUUAUUAAAACAAAAAAAAAUACCCAAAUGUGAUAUCACUCCUUGGAUGUGGUAUCAAAACACACUUUUGUUGCACCACUCCCUCCAGCCUAAUACUAUUUGUGGAGACCCAUCGGUGGCGACCCAGGGGUGUGCGGGAGGUGUAGUCGCACUCGGCCUCUGAUUUAGGGGGCUCCAUAUUUUAGGACAAAUAUGUAAUUAUGGUGUUGAUGUAUUUGUAAAAUAAAUGUUUAUGAGUUAUCAUUAAAUAAAAUUGACUAUUAGUUUCUUAUAUGCACAUUGUAGCAUUUAGUUGCAAUCUUGAAAUCAUUUGAAUUAUGAAAAAAAAAUUAAAGAAAAUAAAAAAAAAAUCAAAAUUUAAUCAUAAAUUCUAAAAUCUACCAAUAAUUUAAUGAAAUUAUCUAUAUCCAAAGACAAUAUAAAUAUGGUAAGGAUUCAAUAUUUUGGGUACAUGAUUUUUUGUAUCCAUAUUUCAUCAAGCUAUUGGUUAAUUAUAGCGAAUAUUUGAAUAAUACAACCAAUAUAAGAUACUUAUGGUUUUUUAUUCACAAAAGAAAAGUUGAAGUCACUGAAAAUCUAUGAGUUAAACGCAAGUUGUAAAAUAUUCUGAAAAUAGGUUGCAAAAUGGGAUGUUGAUAAUUUAUUCAAUGAAUUGAAAUUGUUACAAAAAUAUUUACCAAUUGAACAUAAUACAACAAACACAAUACUAAUUUUUUUUUUAAAUAGUAGCACUUAUCCAAUUUAUUGUCUACAUACAGACUAUUAAUGAUUGUUCUUAUUACAAUUGCAUUAACAAAAAUAAGCUUUUGAAAACUUAAGCUUUUAAGUCUUAUAUGCUCUCGACGAUGCAAUAAGAGAGAUCAAAUGUUUUAACUUUUAUUUUGAUUGAGAACAAGUUUUUUGAACAUAUUUAUUAUCAAAAGUAUAAUAGAUAAAUUUGCUUCUAAAAUGUUAUAAUGCGUUGACUUUUUAUCUCUUUUUUUUAGGAAAUUACUGUAGGGAAUUUACGAAAUUUUUAUUACCAAUUUUAAGUUUUGAAAUUAACAAUAAAAUUUUCUUAAUAAUAUUUUACAAUAAAUUUGUUAUUGACCUCACUUUAUUUCCGCAUAAUGUCUUCGGAACCCGAGCCUAAUUAUUGUGAGAUUGAUCCAUUCUACUUUUCCAAAAAGUUGGAAUGUCCAAGAUAGACAAAUCUUGAACAAUGUUUAUUACAUUACCUAAAAGUCUUAAGUUAUAUUAGUGGAUUAACCAUGAGUGGUGUAUUUGGUGGAUAGUGGAUACAAAGAGAAUACCAACCACUAUAUAUACUUUGUUUUCAUCUUUGUACCUUAAAUUUUACACAUUCUGUAUUUGCAUAUUGUUGUAUCUUUAUAAUUGUUAUUGGAAAAACAUAUUGUAUUCUUAAGUCACUUUGUAUUUUAUUGUUAUAUAAAUCAAAGUAAUGUAUUAUCUUUAUAAACUUUUUUUUGUUAAAAUUGUUUAAAAUUGCUAUUUGCUCCAUACCCCUAGAUGCACUGACAUGCCUUAUACAACACAAUAGAAAGUAUUUUGCAUGCUUUGUGCUUUUUCCGGGAAGAGUUCACCAAUUAAGUCAUUAAUUGGGCUUGGAGGCAUAACAAGCAUCAUUUGAGGUUAAACAUUGUUUAAGUGAUUUAAAACUUGAAAAAUCACUCCACACCAACUCAACAAGAUAAGUAGAAGUUCGCUAUUUAGGAAAGAAUUAUUUAAAUAACAACCAUGCUAUUAAAAAUCAUCAAUAAAGCUCAAUGACAACAUGACAACAAUGUAAACAUAAUGCCAUGCGUGAUAGCCUAUACAUCCAACUCCCAAGUCACCAAAAGUUCAAUGCACCUCACAAUAAUAACCAUAGAGAAAGUUAUCACAUAACAAAUAGCAAACACUCGUAACACUAUGAUAUGCAUUGAUUCAAGAACGUUUUUCAUACAAAAAAAAUCAUGGAAAAAGGACCAAUUUUUACAUCAUAGGCGUCGACUGAACAUAUGUAGUGUUCACAAUCUUUCGAAGAGAACAACUUGUGUAAUCUCUUAAACAUAGAUACAACAAACACAGAAUUCACAGUAGCAUUCGGUUGACUGUUGACAAAUCAUCGAGUCGUUGAAACCCCAUCAUCAUCAUCAUCACCAUUAAUGGCUCGAACUUUGUGGCAAACGAAACGAACCACCAGCAUAGAGCAUUUGGUAAACGGGUCUAAUCCUGAUAGUUAAUAUCAAACUCAAGAUGGUCCCUAAACCACAAACACAAGCAAGAACAAGAAACGUGAACCGAAAACAUGCGGGGCCCAUGCACGUAGUCCCACCUUGCCUAGCUUCCUCGGUGUCAUAAAUGUAACCAGCAAGCAUACCAGAAAACAGAAGUGCCCCCAGAGGGUUCCCUAGCUGCAUAAAGUUGAAUAUCAACCCAAAGUUUUUCAAUCCAAAAAGCUCAGAAGAUGUCGAGAUCAUUAUUGCAAUUUGAACACCAUAGCACGUUCCAAGCAACGCGGUUGCAGCGUAUAAUGUGCCAUUUAGAGCCGAUGCAUAUAGAAGAUAGGUUAACACCAUUAUCACUUGUGUUGCCAUCGUCCAAAACGUACGAGGGAUCGCAUUUAACCUAACACAAAACACCCAAAUUUUGUAACAAUGUAAUUUACAAAACAUAGUAUCAAGAAGAAAGAAUGGAUUACCUUACAAAGUAUUCUGAAACAGCACCUCCACCAAGCCGACCAAGAAAAUUGCAAAAGCUGAAAAGACUCAAGAGUGUAUUUGUAUCAUCAACACCAAGCGAAGCUCCGAUUUGAGCCAAAUUGUUGAGAACAGUGACUCCGGAGCCAACGCCAAGAAAGUAAGCAGUCCAUAGAAGCCAAAAAUCAGCCUUCACCAUGGCUUCACGAAACGAGAAGUCCUCCCCUCGUCUAGGUCUUCUUUUCUUCAUCUUCACCGCACCUUCUCCAACAGCAAGAAGCAUAUCCACAUCUGACACAUCAUCGCUGUCAUUGAAGCUCGUAAGAUUUGCAGCUGAAGAUGAAAGUGUUAACAAUGGGUCUGUUUUCGAAUCACCCUCUCCUAAUACCAAACUGUCGGAAGAUCCAGGUGGCCGGAUUAGCUUCUUGCGAGCGGGAAACAGAGUCAUUUUGAUCGGAAUUGCUAGAGGCGCGAGUAAAAAAACCACCAUAAUCGCAAUAAAUGUGUAGGAGAUGGUGUUGCUUAUGUUCAAGGUGCCUUUAAGCAUCGUUGUGGUUAAGAGAAAGAUUGCGAGUAUGAGACUUGAGCCUUGGGUGAAAAGAAAGUGGCCAUUUUCCGAUGGGUCUGCUUCAAAAGCAGGAGUACAUGGUCGAACAUAAUACAUCAAGGAUAAACAUAUAACAGGAAUCCCAAUUGUGAAAACGAGAACGAUUGCUGAAGCUGAUCCGUUUAGCAACAUGGUGCAGACUUCUGUGAAAACCGCAGCGCUUAAAGCAAUGUAACCUUUGAGAAGUCCGGCGACUGUUCCCCGACUCAGAGGGAAAUUUCUCAAGUUUGUAACGAUCACUGCUGUUCCUAACCAUGCGCUGCUGUUAGCAGCGAGUACGAGUGCUAUCCAUAACUGCAAACAAAUCAGAUUAUCGUAAUUUAAGCAACUUGUGAAAAAAAAUCUGUACGGUUUUAAAUGGUGAAGAUCACUUCAAAGUCGUUAAAUUUGAUUAACUUUUUGAUCUUGAUGAACUCUAAUUGAACUGUUAGACUAUUCAAGAUCAUGACUUUAUGUGUUUGAUUGAUCGCUAAAAUGGUGACAUGUUUGAGCAAAUCAUGUCGAUCGCGUCACCUUCGAUCCAUAAGUUCUAGCUAAUUAAUGGCGAGAUAUAAAAGGUCAUUUAGCAUAAUUAAUAGCAAUCAAACCUCAAAACUAAAUGCUUCUUGCGGAUCGUUUCUAGCAAUUCAAAUCUUGGAGGUUUCACUAGUUGAAUCAGCUUAAAAUAAGAGAAAGAUUAACUUGUGAACAAAUCCCAUUAACCGUUUUUCAGAAAGAAACAGUCCUAAAUUCGAUCAUGGAAAUGGGUAUGCAAAAAAAUUAACAAAAAUUGAAUCUUUAUGAAGAAAUACUUACAAUCCAGUAAGGCAAAUUGACUAUAGUCCGAGUGAUAGCAAGCCAGAGGACGCCAUAACCGAAGAAAGAAGAAAAAACACCGACGAGAAGCACAGCCCAUGGAGGGAAAUAAUUGCAAGCGAUGCCAGGAAGAAUCCCUGUGUUCUCGCCAAAAUCAUUAGCAACACCAAGUAUCGUAAGCUGUUGUUGAGAGAAACCCAGCACGGAUUUGAGAGAAUGAGAGUACAGAGGGAAACAGUAGGAGUUGCCGGCGCAAAUUCCGAUCCAAACCGCGGCUGCGAAGCCCACCCACGGCGGCCUGGUUCCGGCCUUGACAGCGUUCAUAGUGAAUUGGUACAAAGAAUCAAAAAAGGUAGAAAGGUGGGUAUUAAGAAUGAUGAAAGCUUUGAUGAAUCGUGAUGUAAUUAUGUACGAAUAGAGAUUGUGGUUAUGAAUGAUGUCGACAGCAUCAUUUCAAGAUCCAAUCCAACGUUCGUCCAUUUGGACACGAAGGUGACAGUUUGGCACGCUUUUAAGUUUUCAUUUGGUCGUUAGAUCUUGAAAUCGCUAGAUAUUAUUUAUAGUUUAUUACCAAUCUAAUAUAUUCAAUUACAUGGUUUGUUAUGGGUUUUUAUCAAUGAUGCUAUACAAUCAAUCCAAUUAAAAACCGGACGGAGAAUCGGAGACGAGAACGGUUCAACAACAAUCGGUUUUAUGCUAAUUUUUAGAUUAGAGCGAACCGGACGCUUUCUUAAAAAAACAGGUUGAACCGAUGUAAUAGAACCAGUAAAAAACCGUUUGAAUCUGUUUAUUAGAUAUUGAUAAUUGGAUUUCAUAUAGCCCGUUAAAUGCAUUUCCAAAGAAAAUUGGACAGUUUAAUCAAUCAGGUUAACCGGAGUAUAUACAACUUGAAAACCGACCUACAUCAUUGUCAUAUAUAUAAGACAAUUAUUGGUUUAUAUACAUAUAUGUAUGUAAGAAAAUAGAAAAUACAUAGAAAUUACUAAAUCUCUGAUAAACCUACGGUGGACAAAAAUAAUAAUCAGACCAGCUUAACUUAAAAAAAGAUUUUUAAAACAUUGAUCUAUAGACACUAUUAAAUUUGAUUUGAUUUCAAAUCGACCAGUCGAUUAAAUAAUUAUAAAUUAGCUAAGCCAAACAAUUUAUUCGUUUUGAACAAUUAUAAAUUAUCAAGUAGUAAAGUACAUAGAUAAAUAAAUAUAUAAGUAAAGGAUACUUCUUUUUGAUGUGUUUUCAACAUACAAUAUUUCUGUUUAUAAAAUUCCAAUACUCUUAAGAUAAUUAUUAACUAAUACAAAUAAGAAAAAAAGAGAAAAACUUUAAGAUUGUCAAACCUUGAAGAGUUUAGAAAGUUAAAACAUUUUAAGUCAUGAUUAUUCAUAACAUUCUUUUUGUUUUGCCUGUUACUCCUUUUGGAAAAUGAUAGUGGCAAAAGUGUAGUUAAGUUUGUUAUGUAGGGGUUAAUUGGAUGAGGAUGGGACUAUUAUGAGUGUCUAAACCGUCCCCUCAAGAACUUUAAGGUCAUAUUUGCGGUGUAAAUUGGGGGACCACGAGCCGCGGUUGAUGUUGUUGACACGGCACUUGCGAUUACGAUUGGAGUCUACUCAUUUUUAGUGUUAGGCCUCCAAAAAUUUAGUGCGAAUCGAUGAAAGUAGAAAAUCAAAUUAUCGGCUUUAGACGAUAAGUUUUCAUGAUUUUUGAUUUGAUAUGUUUCGGAACCGUCAUUGAAACCAUAUUCUUUUUAAAAUUCUUUACGUUUUUACUCGAGUUGUGGACAUAUGUUCUAAGUAGGGUGUAAUCGAGUCGAGUUGAAUCGACUGUUGUCAAGCACGAAACUCGACUCGACUAAAAACUCAGACGCGGAACUCGACUCAAGCCUAAAUAUUAAACUUGGGUUCGAGCUCGAAAAAGUAAUUGACACUCUCGAGCUCGACUCAAAUAUUUAUUAAAAAUAUAUAACUACAUUAAAUUGAAAUGGAAAUAUGAUUAAGCUUGUAAGUUCGACUCGAAUACGAUCAAUUAUGUAAAAUAUGAAUAAAGGGUAAAAGUAUAAAUAUGGCUAAGCUCGAUUAAGCUCGCAAGCUUCACGAGCCGAGUAUUUCAAGACUCGAGCACGACUCGAUAAUAUACUCGAGUAGUUUGAGCUCGACUUAAACCGAGUUGAUUUCAAGUAUUUUUCGAGUCAGUCGUGAGUAUCUCACGAGCUGGCUCGACUCAGUUACACUUAUGGUUCUAAGCCAAAGCCAAACUCAUGGUCGCUCCAUAUUAAGCCCAUGUUUGUAUCGCCAUUUUUUACAAAGUAAUAUUCGAUUUAUUAUUAUUAAUGAGAGAUGAUUAUUCACGGAAAACUCAUAAUUAUCGCGGUAUCACCCUAUGAGAGCAAAGUUACCUUCUUUUAUUCCCUCUCUAAGAUCUCAAUCAUCUUUCCUUAACCUUAGUUGUCGGCGCCCUUCGUCUUUGCAAUGCCCUUUUUGAAGCAUUCUCAUCAUUAACUUUACCAUGAUGAACUCUCCUAACCUCGAAAACCCUAUGAAACCAUCAACAUCAAAUCAUAUAUUCAUCUCAUAGUUAUUUUUGACCGCUUGAAUUAAUUAUGAUACAUGGCGAGUACUUUUCCAACUCAUUGUAUCGAAUUUGGAGUUAAAGAUCAUCUUGAAGAACCCAAUGAAAAAUCCCUUCAUACCUCUAAUAAUACUAAAUGUAUUUACAUUAAUUCCAUCGUGAAGUUGUUGAUCUACAGAACAAUUUCACAACCUAUGAUGCAUAUGAUCUUGAGAAAAGUGCAACAACUACACAAAUAUGGAAGAAUCUCGAGACACUCUUUUAUGGUAAAAAAAAAAAAAAAAAAGACGCCAAGGCCAUUCAAUUGCACAAUGAACUACAUAACAUCUUGAUUGGUGAUUAAUCCACCAUAGAAUAUUGCACAUGCAUCAAAUCGAUUAUCAACCUCCUUGGCAACAUUGAUACCACCGUUUUUUUUUUAAAAUGGCUCCAUACAUCAUCAAUUGCCUCUCUGUCAAUUCACUAUGUUGCGAGUCGUAUACAUCAUUUUUCGCCUCUUCCCUUUUUUUGGAGAGGGACAAAGGAUGAACUAAGUUAAAAAUCACUCAUUCCAAGCAUCUCAAAGUGAAUAUUCAUUGUCUCUUACCGUUCUCGCCACCAAACAGUUCAAACCAUGGUAAUUCUAAUCAUGGGGUGGCCAACUGCAAAGGUUAUUAUGGGGGUCAAAUUGAUCGAGUUGGUUGUGGUUGGUGUUUGGGGUGUCAAACCCAACAAAUAAUAGAGGUACGACAGACUCCAAAUACACUACUUUAUUGUACUAAAUAGUAGUACAAUGCAAGCAGGGUAGAACCACAGACACAUGGGAAAAAAGUCUAUACAUCUUUGCGUAAGGUACUUUGAUCACAAAAGGGGGUUUUGUUUGCAAAAGUAAAAUAAUAAAAUAACAGUCUACUUUAAAAACAUUCAGAAAAUAAAAUAAACUUGUAAACAAUUUGAUUGAAGGAUUCUAGUUCUAGUUCCCAAUGUUGUUAUUCAACUUGAUUAUGACUUGAUGUAAUUCAUGAUUGUUAUUCUAAGAUAGUACUAAAAGAUAUUAACAUGCUCUAAUACCUCUCGCUUGCUAAAUUAUCUAACCAAAACAAGCUCUUUGACUAGAGCUAGUUUUACUAAUUCAACAUAAACACGCUCUUAGAUUGUAUUGAAAAACUGCAUUAAGUUUUGUACAAUCUUCCCAACAAUGUUCAUUUCUUCUCAUACGCUCGGAAGUGUGAAAACAUGUGGUAUAUGUAUUACAAUAAGAAAACUUAUUGUUUAUUACCAAUUAUUAACUUAUUAGAACGAUUAGGUUCCCUAAAAGUUAAUUAACUACACAAAAAUUCAAUUCAUGAAAGUGGUCAAUCAAACACAAAUCAAAUUCAAGGGUUCUAGUUUAAACAAAAAUAGAAUCACUAGAAUAGAAUCACAAAUCAAACAUCAAAUCAUAUGCUUCAAGUCAAGCAAUCAACAUGUUUUGAACAAGAACUAGAAAUUAGAAUUUCUUAGCCACACAUGGCUAACAAUGAAACAUCCCAAAAAUACGGUCCAAAAAUUUCGUUUUUAAAUCAUUAUUAAAACCAUAGUUAUCAUCACCAUAGUAUAAAAUCAUAAAACAUGUAUCUCAAAAUAUCAUAAUAUUUGUCAAUCAUAUCAAAAUCUCAUAUCAAAUAUCAGAGUAAUCUACCGGGCUAGAAAAUUGUGGUGUGUGUCAUGCGAUCAUCCCGAGCCCUUCCCUUUGCUAGCUGAGGUACCUGAAACCAAACUAAAAACUGUAAGCACGAAGCUUAGUGAGAUCCCCCAAACUACCAAAUACCAUACAUUAAACACAAAAUAACAUAUAGUAUAACUUUGGGACUACUCCCAGUUGCAUCGGGACGAACCUGUCAUCGACUUACCCGACAUCGGACUCCUAUCCGGCAUCGGGCUCACCCCGGCAUCAGACCACGUCUGGCAUCGGGCCCCUCCCGAGAUCGGGUUUGCCCCAGUAUCGGGCUUACCCCGGCAUACACACUGCAUAACAUAUAUCAUAAACACAUAACAUACAUUGGGCUUGCCCCGACAUCGGACCGAAGUCUGGAACACAUAACACAUAACAUAUAAACUAGCAUAUAUCGGGCUUACCCCCGACAUCGAACCUAGGCCCGAAACACAUAACGCGUAACAUGCAUGAAUCACAAAGACAUCAAGCAUACAUAACUACUUCUCGGGACCGCCCUGGCAUCGGGCCGAAGUCAGGAACACAUACUCUACAUCGGGCUAGCCCCGGCAUCGGACCGAAGUCUGGAACAUGCUAACAUACAUAAACGGGCCAGCAAUGGUGCCUUCGACCCGUUCCUACUGAAGGAAGACUCACCUCUCAAAUUGGUUGUUGAUCUCGUGCAUGAGGAAUCUCUGUUGGCUGCUCCUACAACUCCCCGGCUAAUUCUAUACAAUAAUACUUAGUUAGAAAUUUGAAAAAUCUAUCUACGGGUAAAAUGACCAUUUUACCCCUAGUCAAAGUCAACGCUUUGGUCAAUGUCAAAAUUCUAGUCAAAGUCAACCUUCUAGGUUGACCAACUCUCCGAGUCAACCCUUCAACUCGCUGAGUUCUAUAACUCAGAAAUCCUAGAAUCGCGACUCAACUCGCUGGGUCGUUCCUACGACUUGGCGAAUCAACUUGUUGAGUCCCUCUACAAACUUGUCGAUUUCUACUAUAAACUAGAAUUGGGACAACACGACUCGACUCGUCGAGUUCUCUUAUGGACUCGACGAUUCCCUUUGUCUGUUUGGCCAUCUUAAUAGAUUAAGCCCCUAUCUUCUAGAUCCAAGGUCCUUAGUUCGUUUUCUCACUGGAAUGGCCUUUCUAAGGGUAGAUUUUCUAACUUUACCCAUUCAUAAUUCUUCUUAAAGGGUUUAGAAAAAACCCUAAUUGUCACAACUAGGAAUUUUGAUGCUUGUAACAACAACAAUGACAACCUUUGUGAACCAAAAAUGUGAAAGCAUGUAUGAUGCUUAUUUAAUAACAACAAAUUGUCCAUCAAACACUCUAUGCAAGCACUUCAAAUAGUCAACAAAGAAUUGAAAACCCUAGAAAUCCCGGUUUAAGUCCAUUAUGGACUAGGAUUUCCUUAUUGGGCCUAAUGGGCCAAUAAGCUUCCAAUUUGACUAUUUUGGGCUUAGAACUCUUAAAUGGGCUUUAAUUGGACCCACUUCCAUUUAUUUUAACAUUUUGGGCCAUAUUGGGCCUAGAAUGAAAUAAAAUAUCCUAAUGGACCACAUUGGGCCAUAACUAACCUAAUUAGCUUUAAUGGGCUAUGAAACCCAUUAUUUUUGCCAAAUUGGGCCUUAAUUCAUCAUAGGAGCCCAGUGGGCCAAAAAUCAUCAAAAAUGGGCCCAUAAGAUGGAAUUAAGCACCAAAGGCCCAAAAAUCUCUUCUUUCUUCCUUUUUCUCGGCCCAAAAAGAAAACAAAAAAAAAAAAAGAAAUAAGAGAAGGGUUGACUUUAGGAGGUGUCACCUCCUUAUUACACACCAUGCACCCAUGUAUGGACCAACAUGUAUCUAGACUAGUCAUCUCACCCUCUCUAUUCCCUCUCUCUCUUUUCCUUCGGCCAAAGACAACAAGCACACACACACACACCUCACAAAUUCUCUCUAAACCACUCUCAAGAUCAUCCUCUUGUUCUUUGAAGAUCUCGAAAAUUUGGCUAGAAAUCUAAGGAUUUUCAUCAAGUAGUUCACAUCCUUGGUAAGUUAUUGCUUUGAUACAUAACAUAUCUUCUUCAUUUCAUCAACAAUCCCCCUUAUCUCAUACAAAAUUCGUGAUCUUGCCUCUUAGAACACAUCUAAGUCAAAAAUCCUCCAAGAAGCUUGCUAGGCCAAGAAUAGCAUCAAACUUCUUAUAUUCUUCAUCAAAAUCGAAACCACAAACUCAAGGAGAGUUCAUACCCCUCUUUUUUCGGUUUUUACUAGUUUUAUGGGGGAGAAUACAAGUAAAAUGUGUAGAUCUAUGUGUAUGUGUGUGUUAUGUAUGAUUUUAUGCAUGUAUGUGUGAUUGUAUGUGUUUAUGUGGUAAAUAUUCAACAAAAAGAUUAGAAAUCUCGAGAUCUAUGGCAUAAGAAGUAAAACAAACUUGAUCUAAGUUAUACCACACUAAAAAAGUCAAGAAAAAUACCCUCUAUGAUUUAAAAUAGACACUUUGUAACAUAAAACAAAUUUUUGGGGCUUAAAUUGUCAAAUAAACAAAAGUUGGUGGAAAGGUUGCUAUUCACGGUUUUAUUGAGGGGAAAAAGAGUCAAAAGAGUUAAAAUAAAUGUUUUUGUGACAAUUAUGCUCUUCAAAGGACUUGAAAUGUAAAUAAUAGCUCAAUGGGCCAAUUUUUGGGCUUUUCGGCCCAUUAAGCCCAAGGUUGCGAAAAAUCUGAUUUUCAAAGGGCUAAAAUGAAAAUUUUCUCAAAAAAGGGGAUAAAAAGGGUAAACAAAAUCAUUUCAGGGGUUAAAAUGCUUUUCUUUACCAAAAAGGAUAAAAAAUGUAAGGUUUUUGGAUUUUGGGCCAAAAUUGUAAAAGUUGCAAAAAGUUUGGACUUUAGCCGUAAAAUACUUUUCUGGAAGGGCUGAAACUGAUAGAAGUAAAUUUUGAGCUAAAACCACCACAUAAACAAAGUCUAUGGGUCAAAAAUGAUAAGAAAAUGGUUUUAGGGCCUAAACUGUCUUUUUAUAUAUAUAAAGGGCUAAAAUUGUCAUUUUUAUCCAAGAAGAGCUGAAAUGGUCAAACCAAUAUUUUGACUCAAUUAUUUUAUUAUUUAAGAUAUUUGGGUCAAAAAUAGCAAACCACAACUUAUGACAAAUGGCAAGAUGAAUAUACAUAAAUUCUGAAUAUCGGACUCGUAUCGAUAAAAAUUUAACAAUUGUUCAAUUAAACAUUUCGACAACUGUACUAUACCCACAACAAGUAAACAUUAAAUCCUUUGGGUUUGAAAGUUCCAUACAUGUUUAUUGGGCCUUUGUGACCCAUUAAGAUGAUCUUGGGCCCAAGGGGUAAUUAUAAAUGUUAUUGGGCCUUCUAUGACCCAAUUUCAUAUUUAAGGGACCCUCAAUGGCUUAAGUGCUAUUGGGCCUUAGUGGCCCAUUAGCAUUGCUAUUAAGGUCCAAGUAAUCAAAUACGAAAUGGGCCAACGUGUCCUUCGUAUACCCAACAGCCUAAAAUAACUCACGAAGGUAGCAGGGUUUGUAUUUCCUCUUCUCCUCAUUUGUUAGGCUUACGCGUAACCAAAGUAAACAAAUACAUGUCGAAGUCAAUUGGGAUUUAGUGAGUAAUAACGGGUAGCACCAACGUGUGCCGGUCAUAUUCUGUAGUUAUAAUCAAAGUCUCCUGGAGGGAGAGUGAGAGUUUGUGUAUAGAUCUAUAUGGGGGUGACUCCCCCACACCUCAGUUGUUCACUACAAUUAGACUCGGCCAGUCUAGGGUGACAAAAUCUUAAGAUCAAUUCCGACGUUCACCAGAGUGCCAAGACAGACGAACUAGUCAUUAUCAUGCAUGGUUAUAGCGACUCACAUAAAUAAAUCCAAUGUAAACCAAGUAAACAAGGUAAUACAAAAUCAUUCACGUAAUGAGUAACCAUUCAAACCGUUAUAUGAUAUUUUUAUUUUGGAAAACAUCGGGUUUUCCGGGGAAGUUCAACAUUUUCACUUGUACGUUUAAUACUAAGUUUUUCAGUUAUACAUGUUUUGAAAUCAUCAUACAUAUAUUUACGAAUCUUCACACCUUUUUAUACACAAUGGUCUUUUCAGAAAAUAUCGGAUUUUCUGGGUUGUUUUUGUUCAAACUACACAAAACAUUUCAUAUCAAACCUGCUUAUGAACUCACCAACAUUCUAUAUGUUGACCCGUUUUCAAAAUAACUUGUAUUCUCAGGUAACAGGUAAGAUGGGGAAUAAGUACCAAGUAUGUUAGUGUGUUUUGCUUUUGAAAACUAUCAAACAAUUUAUGUAUGGAUUUGUAACGUUAAAACAAUGUACUUGAUGUGAACAAUGUCAGUUGUAAUAUAUUGAUGCAUGGUGAUGUUUAUUUUAUGAUUCAUGUAUAUUCAUUGUGAUGAUAUUCAAUUUAACUCACACGAGCCCUCGGACGUUUCCGCCGUCUGGUUCGGGGGUGAGACACUAAUUCCUUUAGGACAUGGAUCUUGUCCAAAAAGCCUUAGAAUCUCAAAUCCACGCAUGCAAACCUAGAGCUAGGGCCUAGCUAUCAAAUAAUCACGAAAAGUCUCAAGCUUGAUUCCAUGCAUGGCUUUUUUGAGCUCAAAAGACAAUAAAUACGUCUUUAGCACUUGCAUGGGAGUUCUAAGGGCAUAAAGUUUGCACCAUUAUGUCCUCACAGCAUCUCUAGGCACUAGAUCUGGAAGAGCAACUCUUGGGUCGAUCCUUACCCACAAGCUAGAAAAUCUUGGACCAAAAACCCAAAAAAAGAGGUCAUAAAUAGAUCUAAGAAGAGAAUGAUCAAGUUUGAGGCUUUAUUACCAGAAAAUGAAGCUAAAGGGAUGAAACUUUUGGAUCUAUUGUUUCUCUCUUGAGUCCUCUAACUUCUUCUUCUUCCACAAGCUUCAAAAGGCACAAAUAACAAUCAAAAGUGGCUCACACACUCAAAAAGCACUCUACGUUUUCGUAGCUAAGGGUUUGGGACAAGGAGGCUACAAAUGAGGCUAAGGGGUGGGGAUUAAGGUGUUUAAAUAGGGUGAAAAACCCCGAAAUUAGGGUUUCACCUUGACUGAGCUACUCCCCGAGUCAGGGAAUUGACUCGCCGAGUAGAUAACUUAAACCCCGUGCAUAGUCUUCCUUCUACUCGACGAGUUAGGGCUACCAACUCGUUGAGUCCUUCUCUCAAAAUAAAUAAAUAAUUAAAUAAAAUGCGUGCCAGGGAACCAGGCGUUACAAUUCUCCCCUACUUGUCUUAGACUUCAUCCUCGAAGUCACCUGCAUCUGAAAACAACUUCGGGUAGUUCUCCCUCAUCUCCUCCUAGGGCCCCCAUAUCCACUCUGAACCCUUACGGUGUUGCCAUUGCACGUUCACUAGCUCAACCCUCUUGUUCCUCAGCACCAUCAUCUUGCAAUCCAGAAUCGCCACCGGUCUCUCAAUGUAAUUCAGGCUGUCAUCAACCUGAAUAUCCUCUAAAGGUAUAACUGUCAUGGCAUCCACUAAGCACUUCCGUAACUGGGAAACAUGGAAAGUGUUAUGAAUCUGGCUGAGCUCCGCAGGAAGAUCCAAACGAUACGCUACCUGGCCACCCGGGCAAUGACUCUGAAAAGGCCAAUAAACCUCGGGCCCAGGUUGCUCCUCUUCCGGAACCUAAUAACACCCCUCUAGGGUGACACCUUCAGGAGGACCAUAUCGCCCACAUGAAACUCUAAGUCUGAACGCCGCUUGUCGGCCUAACUCUUCUAUCGACUCUAAGCAGUUUGGAGCCUGCUUCGGACCUGUUGGAUCCGCUCUGUGGCCUUGAGUACUAACUUCGUGCUCCCCACGACCCUCUGACCGACCUCACCCCAAUAGAUUGGGGUCCUACACUUCCUCUCAUAGAGCAUCUCGAAGGGAGGCUGGUCUAUACUGGCAUGGUAACUGUUGUUAUACGAAAAUUAUGCUAACGGAAGAUACAUAUCCCAACAGCCACCGAAAUCCAAAACACAUCCACAAAGCAUGUCCUUGAGAGUCUGAAUCAUCCUCUCGCUCUAUCCAUCGGUAUGGGGUGGAAAGCAGUGCUGAAGUGGAGAUGAGUACCCAUCUCGUCGUGAAACUGCUUCCUAAAUCUGAAAGUAAAACGGACAUCUCGAUCAGACACUACUGAGACAGACACUCCAUGCUAUGACACCACCUCUUGCACAUAAAUAUCGACCAACUUCUUGGUGAAGGGUUUUGAGCAUUCUAACACUCCUAAGGUGUACAUACAACCCUAGAAACCUUGGAUCUAUGUUUUACUAUGAUACAUGCAAAUUUGAUUUCCAAGGUUUAUAUCCUAUCUAGCAUACAUGGGGAACUUUUAAACAUAAAAGUAACCAAGAAAACAUACCUUGUAGUAGUUUGGAUUCCUUGAAAAACCUUGUGAUCCUAGCACCUCAAGUGUGAUGCCUUAAAUGUCUCACACAACACCAAAUGCACUUGGAAUAACUUAGAGAGAAGUGGAACACUUCUUGAAAAUGGCUAGCCCUCACCUUUCUUUCUUAGUGACGAUUUUGUUGAACAAAGUGUUACUUAUAUAGUGUGUUACAAUUAGGGUUACACCAUGUAAACGCUAAUUGUCAUGACUUUUCAUUUCCAUGACCCAUUGGUUCUAUAAACACCAUGGAGCAUCCAUGGAGCAUCCUAUGGGUUUUAUCCCAACUUGAUAAUCCAUGAAGCAUUAGCCCACUAUAUAAGUAUGGAUGAUUUACACAAUCAAUCCAUAUAUUUAAUUAGUCUCCUUUUGAUCACUUAAUUAAUUCCAACUAAUUCUUGAUCAAUACUAAUUAAAUAAUAUUAUUAAUAUAUUAGAACUUAUAAUAUAUUAAUAAACCUUACGUGUUAUUUUUUUUCAUUUUAGUCUAUCCAAAUGCAUGAUGCCAUGCAACCCAAAUGGACCAUGCCAAACUGGGUCAAGUACAUACUAGAAAUUGUUAUGGACUUAGACACCUUAUCCAAAAGACUCCCACUUGGAUGAGUCUAAUAACUAUAACUGCAAGUAUGACUUUAGGAACCGAUUAGCAAUCGUAGCUCUUUCAAGGUCUCUCAGAACUAAGAUGACGAUGAUACGCCAUUUAAGAUAAGUGAUCGUAUAAUCCUCUGUUCUAGAUAUCAGCUGGACAAAUACAUGGAACAAUGUCUUGCUUAUUGUCCAAUAGUUUGUUCCCCGAUUUCUGAUUUGUUUGACAUAGAACUUAAUUGAACACGUCAACUUAGUUCUGACCAGGCCCGGUACAUAGUUCAAAACAAAAUCAACGAGGGGCCCAGAUAUCACUUCUAAUCCAAGAAGGAACAGAUAAACUUCGACUCAUAUACUUGUUCUACUACUUGUUAAAUUAUACACAAAGGCAUGUUUUAUAACAUCGAGUUACCAAUGUGUUUUCGUAUAAUCAAUGUAUAACCAACUCAUAGGCAACAAGUCAUAUCUCUAGGUUUGAAGACUUAUAUGAUAUUACCAUCUCAUGAUCACUCAAGAUAAAUUCCAUGAAGUGAUACAAGUGAGCGUGGGUUGAAUCCAAUACUCAGAACUUAUGAGCACUCAUGAGUGUUGUAGCACCUCUUUGCUAUGUCCAACAACUUAGACAUCUACAAGCNAAGCCAACUCUGACAUCCUUGAUUCAUAUCUACUUCCAACAUUUGACUCACUGUGGAGAAUUUGAAUAAUAUGAUAUACAAUAACAUAAUUAUUCUGGAAGUCAAAACAUGCAAAAUGAAAUGAUAGUAAACGAUUGACAAAAGAUAGCAACACGUAUACUUAUAAAUAAACAACAACUUUUAUUUAUCAUCAAAUUUCGAUUACACUUUAAAAAUUUCAAAGUUAUCUAACUACUAAAACUAAUAUCAUCCUUCAGCCCUAUGCACUUCGCAUGCUGGAGAUGCUUAACCCUACCCAGUCCCUUCGUGAGGGGAUCUGUUGGGUUCUAAUCUGAUGAUAACCUCUUUGCCAUGAGGAGUCCUUCUCCUAUUCGAUGUCUGAUGAAAUGGUAUUUUCUGUCAAUGUGUCUAGAUCUCCUAUGAUCCGUUGGUUCCUUGGCUAAGGCAACUGCACUUUCACUAUCACAUAAAAUAUCUAUAGGCUCUUUUAUAGCUGGUACAACUCCAAGGUCUCCAAUGAUGUUCUUUAGCCAUAUNACCUCGCUUGCCGCUAUAUACUCUGAUUUGCAAGUUGAAUCAGCCAAUGUCUCCUGCUUGGAACUUUUCCAAGUUACUACUCCUCCGUUUAAGGUAAAGACCCAGCCUGACUGAGAGCGGAAAUUAUCCCUAUCAGUUUGGAAGCUAGCAUCACUAUACCCUACUACUCUCAAGUCAUCACUCCCACCGAGGGUAAGGACCUAAUCCUUAGUCCUCCGAAGGUAGUUAAGAAUGUUCUUCACCGCAUUCCAGUGAGCCUUGCCAGGGUUCCCCUGAUAUUUGCUGACCAUGCUCAAGGCAAAGGCCACAUCAGGACGAGUACAGGUCAUAGCAUACAUGAUCGAGCCUACAGCGGAAGCAUAUGGAACUCAACUCAUCUCAGCUAUCACAUCCUCUAUACUCGGACUCUGAGUCUUACUCAGUCUGGCGUUACUCUGGAUCGGUAACUCUCCUUUCUUGGAAUUCUGCAUGCUGAAACAUUUCACCACCUUACCCANUCUGACUAAGUCCAAUUAGUCUUUUACUCAUGUCUCUCAAAAUCCUUAUCCCUAGGAUAUAGGUAGCUUCUCCAAGGUUCUUCAUAGCGAACUUUCCAAGCCAGUACUUAACCUCCUGCAAAGUUGGAAUGUCAUUUCCCAUGAGUAGUAUGUCAUCCACAUACAGUACCAAAAAGCUAACUAUACUCCCACUAGCCUUAACAUAUACACAAGAUUCAUCUUCACUUCUCGAAAAGCCAAACUCUUUGACUUCCUCAUCAAAACAAAGAUUCCAUCUGAGAGGUGCUUGUUUCAAUCCAUAAAUGGAUUUCUCAAGCUUACACACUUUAUUAAGGUACUCUGUACUGACAAAAACCUCUGGCUGAACCAUGUAAGCAUCUUCAGCCAACNUUUCAUUAAGGAAAGCAGUUUUGACAUCCAUUUGCCAUAUUUCAUAGUCAUGAAAUGCAGCAAUAGCUAACAUAACCUUAAUAGACUUAAUCUUUGCUACUUGUGAAAAGGUCUCAUCAUAAUCAGUCAACUCCCGGAGUUUGAUAAAAUCCCUUUGCAACCAGUCGCGCCUUAUAAGUGUGUACAUUACCAUCCAUGUUGGUCUUCUUCUUGAAGAUCCAUUUGCACCCAACUAUCUUAUGACCUGGUACAUUUUCAACCAAGUUCCAAACUUGAUUGUCAUACAUGGAAUGUAUCUCGCUGUCCAUAGUCUCUUUCCAUUUAGCAGCCUCAGGGCCUGCCAUGGCUUUCGUGUAGCUGUUAGGUUCAUCCAGACCAUUUGGUGUGUUAUCACUGAUAAGUGUAUCACCUUCCGUAGUAAUAUGGAAACAAUAGUAAUGCUCAGGUGCAUUCCUAACUCUCAUGGAACGCCUCAGAGGUACAGACUCGUCAGUCGGAUCAACAGGAGUUUCCUCCUCUGGUUGAUUGCUAGGGUUUGAGGUUCCUUCACCACUUGACUCUUGAAUUUCUUCAAGAUCAAUUUGCCUCCCACUAUUUCUUUGGCUUAUGAACUCUCUCACGAAAGACUCCCCUCCUUGCUACAAAGACCACAUUAUCAUUGGGUUUGUAGAAGAGGUAACCGAAGGAUUUCAGUGGGUAGCCGAUGAAAAUACAACUCUCACUUCGGGGUUCGAGCUUAUCGAGAGUCUCGUGCCUCACAAAAGCAUCGCAACCCCAAAUAUUGAUGUGGUCCAGAUUUGGAACUUUUCGGGUCCACAUCUCAUGAGGUGUUUUGGCAACCUUUUUGGUAGGGACUAGAUUAAGAAUAUGGGCGGCAGUCUCUAAGGCAUACCCCCAAAAAAGAAAUUGGUAGCGAAGCUCGAUUCAUCAUGGAAUGAACCAUGUCCAACAAAGUUCGAUUACGUCUCUCAGCCGCACCAUUAAGCUGUGGUGUCCUGGGAGGUGUCAAUUGUUAAAUAAUCCCACAUUCCUUAAGAUAGUCAAGGAACUCUGUACUAAGAUAUUCACCACCUCGAUCGGAUCAAAGCAUCUUAAUGUUCCUGCCCAAUUGAUUCUCCACUUCCUGCUUAAACUCUUUGAACUUUUCAAAGGUUUCCUACUUAUGCCUGAUUAAGUAGACAUAUCCAUAUCUACUAAAAUCAGCAGUAAAAGUCACACAGUAGCUGUUAGCAUCCCUUGUGGCGGUUCUGAAGGGUCCACACACAUCAGUGUGUACCAGAUCCAACAAACCUUCACCCCUAGCACAAGAACUAGUGAGGUGAUUUUGUCAUUUUUCCAAGUAGACAAGAUUCACAACUAUCAUCCGACUUUAGGUCAAAUGACUCCAAGACUCCAUCCUUUUGGAGUUGGCCUAUGCGUUUCUUACUUACAUGUCCAAGGCGACAAUGCCAUAAUGAUGCUUUAUCCAAGUUAGUGGAAGAAUCAAUACACAACAUAUUAUUUCCUAGGUUAUCUACAACAGACAUAGCUUCAUACACACCAUCACAAGGUAAU